This 75-nucleotide transfer RNA is filed under the name Verrucomicrobiota bacterium. RNAcentral describes it as "Verrucomicrobia bacterium tRNA-Pro". It matches the Rfam family "tRNA". Rfam says of the family: Transfer RNA (tRNA) molecules are approximately 80 nucleotides in length. Their secondary structure includes four short double-helical elements and three loops (D, anti-codon, and T loops). Lineage: Bacteria; Pseudomonadati; Verrucomicrobiota. RNAcentral also lists the same sequence under 1 other name. The record is from RNAcentral.
CAGCGCGUGGUGUAGCAGCAACAUGCCCGGCUUGGGACCGGGUGACCGCAGGUGCAAAUCCUGCCGCGCUGACCA